AUACGGAUGGUGCGAGCGUUGUUCGGAAUUACUGGGCGUAAAGGGCGCGUAGGCGGCGAUGUAAGUCAAAUGUGAAAGUCCUCGGCUUAACCGGGGAAGUGCAUCUGAAACUGCAUUGCUUGAGUAUGGGAGAGGAAAGUGGAAUUCCCGGUGUAGAGGUGAAAUUCGUAGAGAUCGGGAGGAAUACCGGUGGCGAAGGCGACUUUCUGGACCAAUACUGACGCUGAGGCGCGAAAGCGUGGGGAGCAAACAGGAUUAGAAACCCUAGUAGUCCC
RNAcentral lists this ribosomal RNA (275 nucleotides) under uncultured bacterium. Its description in RNAcentral is "partial 16S ribosomal RNA". It matches the Rfam family "Bacterial small subunit ribosomal RNA", at positions 523 to 797 of the family's 1533-position model. The record is from RNAcentral.